RNAcentral lists this long non-coding RNA (3319 nucleotides) under Sus scrofa (pig). Its description in RNAcentral is "lncRNA (ENSSSCG00000062595.1)". The record is from RNAcentral. Lineage: Eukaryota; Metazoa; Chordata; Mammalia; Artiodactyla; Suidae.
UUUUUUUUUUUUUUUUUUUUUAGAUAUUUAAACUGAAAUUUAUAAAAGAAAACAGUACCAUUCCCAGUUACACCAAAACAUAAAACAUUUAGGUGCAAGUUGAAAACAUUUAAGAGGAAAAUAAUUAAAGAAGGGUUAAAUAAAUGGAGAGCUAUACAAGGCUUAUGGAUUAGAAAACUCCCUCAUUAAGACGUCAACUCUCCUUAAAUUAAUCUACAGAUUCAGUACAUUCCAACCAAAAUCCCGAAAAGAAUUUUUUUAAAAACAUUGACAUGCUUAUAGUAAAAUGUAUCUUUUUUUUUUUUCCUUUUUUUUUUCUUUUUUUUUUUUUUUUUCUUUUCCCACUGUACAGCAAGGGGGUCAGGUCUCUUUUACUUCUCUGAUUGCUGUGGCCAGGACUUCCAAAACUAUCUUGAAUAUCAGUGGCGAGAGCAGGCAUCCUUGUCUUGUUCCUGAUCUCAGCAGGAAUUCUUUCAGCUUUUCACCAAUGAGAAUGAUGUUUGCUGUGGAUUUGUCAUAUAUGGCCUUUAUUAUGUUGAGGUAGGUUCCCUCUAUGCCCACUUUCUGAAAGGUUUUUACCAGAAAUGGGUGUUGGAUUUUGUUACAGGCUUUUUCUGCGUCUGUUGAGAGGAUCAUAUGGUUUUUAUUCUUCCGUGUGUUAAUGUGGUGUAUCACACUGAUUGUUUUGCAGAUAUUGAAGAACCCUUGCAUCCCUGGGAUAAAUCCCACUUGAUCAUGAUGUACAAUCCUUUUAAUAUAUUGUUGGGUGUGGUUUGCUAGUAUUUUGUUGAAGAUUUUUGCAUCUACGUUCAUCAGUGAAAUCGGCCUGUAGUUUUCUUUUUUUUGGUGGUAUCUUUAUCUGAUUUUAGUAUUAGGGUGGUGAUGGCCUCAUAGAAUGAGUUUGGGAAUAUCCCUUCCUCUGCAAUUUUUUGAAAUAGUUUCAGAAGGAGAUAUUAGCUCGUCUCUAAAUGUUUGACAGAAUUCACCUGUGAAGCCAUCUGCUCCUGGACUUUUGUUUGUUGGAAGUUUUUUAUAAACAUACCCUUUUACUAUGAGCAUGACAGUAUGAGAUUUUUCAGUAGACAGCACUGGAAAGACACUGGAGGCAGAAGGGUUUCUCUUAAUGGUUCUGGUGCUCUGUCUUUGGGUAGUGGUAUGUGUGAGAGCAAUUCCAGUGAUGUUCUUCCCAGCUGCACACCCAGAACACACAGUUGCUCAGUGACCUUGCAGCCCCUGCUGAGCCUGGAGAUCCCUUCCCAGGACACUGCAGCAUAGGCAGUGGGUGUUCCAGGUCUUCCUCCUGCAGUGGUGCCAGAUUCCCUUUGUGCACCUGCAGGCCUGACCACCUGUCCCCAACCCCAGCCCCCUGGCACAGUUCACCUGUGCUCCAAUAGAUUGCUUCUUGCUUUUCCAGAAACUGAGGACAGGCUCUGGACCAGGUCAACUUGCAGACUUCUCUGCCAUGUGGGCUGCAACCACAUCUUCUCCAGUGAGGUCUGAACCCCAGCUUUGGGCAGAGAGCUCCCUUCAAUGUUUGUCCUUCCUUGGGUACUUUCUCUCAGCCCUGCAGUUCUUUUUAUAUCUCAUAGUUACUCUUUUAUCAUAGCUUAAUAAUUCUUUGUUUUAAACAUCCCCUGUUUAAAUCACUGUGUGGUUUUCAUUUCCUGACUGGACUCAGGUGGAUACACUUGAAAUACAUAGUGUAUAUGGCUUCUGUUUUCAAGGACACCCUGAAUGAUAGAAGCUAACAUAGUCCUGGAUCUGUAGACAUCUUGGCCCUGAGUAGAAGCAAAUGCGUAUCUUCUCUGGGGUUUCCUUCCUGCUUAGGUCCUCAGAACUCAUUUGUUCACUCAAAGAUUUGCUAAGUACCUGUUUCCUAUCAGUCACUGUUCUAGAUGAUGGGGAUAUAGCAAUGAACAUGAGAAAAAUCCUACCUUAUAUUUUCACAAAAAUGUAUCAUCAAAUAUAGAAGGAAAUAAGUCACCAUGAAUAGAAAUAAAAAACCUCACAUUUAGAUCCCUAUCAUUUUUAGUUAUUGCAAUUAUCCAGAUAGAAUAAGACAUAAAAUAACUAGAUAGGAAAUGUUUAAAGAAAUAAAAGAUGGGAUCAUAUGAAUAAGCAAGAGAUCAAAAAGACAAUAAGAAUUGUUGGGGAAGAUACGGAAAAAUUGGAAGCUUUACAAAUUACUAGUAGGAUUGUAAAAUGGUGCAUCCCCUUUGGAAAACUUUCCAGCAAUUCCUCAAACUAUUAAAUAUAGAGUUACCACAUAGCAUAGGUAUAUGGGUAUACAACCAAGAGAAAAUAUGUACCGACACAAAAACCGAUUAGACCCUUAGCUUGGGAACCUCCAUAUGCUGCGUGUGCGGCCCUAGAAAAGACAAAAAAAAUAAUAAUAAUACUAAUAAAAAAAUAAAAUUUCAAGAACAUUCAGAUGAUUGAACAUAAAAACCUGUAAUUUUAAUUCAUCACAUUAGUGGAUUAAAGAAGUUACAUGAUUAUCUCAAAAAAUGUAGUAAAGGCAGUCAGUAAAAGUCAACAUCCAUUCUUGACAAAAAAAAAAAAUAGUAAAGCAGGAAUAAAACAAAACUUCCUAAUGUUAAAAGGUAAUUUUUAACAAAAAGCCUACAGUAAUCAUCAUUCUUAAUGAUGAAUCAUUGAAAGCCUUGUUCCUUUAAGAGCAGAAUAAGACUAAGUUGUCUGCUAUUACUUCUUCUCCACAGGGCAAGAAUAAACAGAUAUGAGGCAAAAGAAGGAAACAAUACUGUCAUUAGUUGUAGCUAAUGUAAUUGUAUACGUAGAAAACCUCCAAAGAAUUUGCAAAUUAUGAAAAUUAAUGAGUGUUUACCAAGUUUGCUAAACACAGAAACUGAUAUAUAUCUCCCUAGAUUAAGUUCUUAAUAUUAAAAUAAGAAAAAGACAAACCAGUAGAAGAUGGGCAAAAGACAGGAAUAGGCACUUUACAAAAAAGGAACCAUAAAUAGCCAAUAAAAAUUAAAAUAUGCUCAACCUCAUUGACAACCAGGGAAAUAUAAAGCAAAGCCAAAAUAAGAAACCAUUUUCUAACUCCAUUGGCAACAAUUAAGAAAUUUAGUAACACCAAGUGCUGGUGGGACCUUUGAUAUACCACAAUUGGAGUGUAUAUAGGUACAACUUUGAAAAACACUUUGGCUAUAUGUAUUUUAUAAAUCUGAACUAGAUAUAUUACAAAGACACUCUUGGAGUUCCCAUGAUGGCACAGCGGGUUAAGGAUAUGGCAUUGCCCCAGCUGUGGCUCAGAUUUAAUAUCUGGCCCAGGAACUUCCAUAUGCCUUAUGUGCAG